GUGAGGAAUAUUGCACAAUCCGCGCAAGCGGGAUGCAGCAACGCCGCGUGGACGAUGAAGGCCUUCGGGUUGUAAAGUCCUUUUAAGGGGGAAGAGGAAGGACGGUACCCCUUGAACAAGUCUCGGCUAACUACGUGCCAGCAGCCGCGGUAACACGUAGGAGGCAAGCGUUAUCCGGAUUUACUGGGCGUAAAGAGCGCGCAGGUGGUUGGGUAAGUCGGGUGUGAAAGCCCCGGACUUAAUCCGGGGAGGUCAUUCGAUACUAUCUGACUUGAGAACGGGAGAGGGAAGUGGAAUUCCGGGUGUAGUGGUAAUAUGCGUAGAUAUCCGGACGAACACCAGUGGCGAAGGCGGCUUCCUGGCCCGUUUCUGACACUAAGGCGCGAAAGCGUGGGGAGCGAACGGAAUUAGAUACCCUGGUAGUCC
RNAcentral lists this ribosomal RNA (426 nucleotides) under uncultured bacterium. RNAcentral describes it as "bacterial SSU rRNA". It matches the Rfam family "Bacterial small subunit ribosomal RNA", at positions 354 to 796 of the family's 1533-position model. The record is from RNAcentral.